RNAcentral lists this ribosomal RNA (368 nucleotides) under Protaetia nitididorsis. RNAcentral's name for it is "partial 16S ribosomal RNA". The record is from RNAcentral. Lineage: Eukaryota; Metazoa; Arthropoda; Insecta; Coleoptera; Scarabaeidae.
ACCGUGCAAAGGUAGCAUAAUCAUUAGUUUUUUAAUUGAAAGCUGGAAUGAAUGGUUGGACGAGAAAAUAACUGUCUCAGUAUAAUUUAAAUUAGAAUUUUAUUUUUAAGUAAGAAAGCUUAAAUUAGUUUAAAAGACGAGAAGACCCUAUAGAGUUUUAUAUUUAUUGUUAUAUAAGUAAUUAAGUAUUUUAAAAGUUUCUAUAAUAGUAAGUAUUUUGUUGGGGUGACAGAAAAAUUGAAUUAACUUUUUUUAUUUAUUAACAUUGAUUUAUGAGUGUUUGAUCCAUUAAUAAUGAUUAAAAGAUUAAAUUACCUUAGGGAUAACAGCGUAAUUUUUUUUGAGAGUUCUUAUCGAAAAAAAAGUUU